RNAcentral lists this ribosomal RNA (373 nucleotides) under uncultured organism. Its description in RNAcentral is "partial 16S ribosomal RNA". It matches the Rfam family "Bacterial small subunit ribosomal RNA", at positions 527 to 896 of the family's 1533-position model. The record is from RNAcentral.
GUAGGUGGCAAGCGUUGUCCGGAAUUAUUGGGCGUAAAGCGCGCGCAGGCGGUUCUUUAAGUCUGAUGUGAGAGCCCACGGCUCAACCGUGGAGGGUCAUUGGAAACUGGAGAACUUGAGUACAGAAGAGGAAAGCGGAAUUCCACGUGUAGCGGUGAAAUGCGUAGAGAUGUGGAGGAACACCAGUGGCGAAGGCGGCUUUCUGGUCUGUAACUGACGCUGAGGCGCGAAAGCGUGGGGAGCAAACAGGAUUAGAUACCCUGGUAGUCCACGCCGUAAACGAUGAGUGCUAAGUGUUAGGGGGUUUCCGCCCCCCUUAGUGCUGCAGCUAACGCAUUAAGCACUCCGCCCUGGGAGUACGGCCGCAAGGCUG